GAGAGCCGAGUCGACUCCAAGACGAUCCGAGUCGACUCCGAGGCAGUUCAACUCCAAAGACAGAAGAUCAGUUUUUCGGUCUCUGAGAGCCGAGUCGACUCGAGGGAGUAAACCUGAAAGAAAGAUCUCUGGAAUCCUGAGAACGAGUCGUCUCCAGAGGGCCGAGUCAUCUCCGGAUACUGGCGAGUCGACUUCAAGUUUGGCCGAGUCGACUUCAGAACGGGACAGCACUUUUAUUCAAAUCCUGAACAGUG
Molecule: long non-coding RNA, 254 nt
Filed under: Phoenix dactylifera (date palm)
Lineage: Eukaryota; Viridiplantae; Streptophyta; Magnoliopsida; Arecales; Arecaceae
Description: long non-coding RNA (PDAC_LNC016690)
Source: RNAcentral